GGAGCCUGCGGUUUAAUUGGACUCAACGCCGGAAAACUCACCGGGGCGACAGCAAUAUGUAGGUCAAGCUAAAGACUUUACCAGAAUCGCUGAGAGGAGGUGCAUGGCCGUCGUCAGUUCGUACUGUGAAGCAUCCUGUUAAGUCAGGCAACGAGCGAGACCCGUGCCCACUGUUGCCAGCAUGUCCUUCGGGAUGAUGGGUACUCUGUGGGGACCGCCGAUGCUAAAUCGGAGGAAGGUGCGGGCUACGGUAGGUCAGUAUGCCCCGAAUCUCCCGGGCUACACGCGGGCUACAAUGACUGGGACAAUGGGCUCCUACCCCGAAAGGGGAUGGUAAUCUCAUAAACCCAGCCUUAGUUCGGAUCGAGGGCUGUAACCCGCCCUCGUGAAGCUGGAAUCCGUAGUAAUCGCGUUUCAACAUAGCGCGGUGAAUACGUCCCUGCUCCUU
Molecule: ribosomal RNA, 448 nt
Filed under: uncultured Methanomethylovorans sp.
Lineage: Archaea; Methanobacteriati; Methanobacteriota; Methanomicrobia; Methanosarcinales; Methanosarcinaceae
Description: bacterial SSU rRNA
Rfam family: Archaeal small subunit ribosomal RNA
Source: RNAcentral